GGGAAGCGCGUAAGAGCGGUCGAAUAGUCUGAGCUCCGCUGGGCUAUUCACGAAGCGCGCUUUUGUGCGUGCUUUAUAUCGGGAACGCUUUCGGGCACAACCGCUGCUGGUUUGGGAGGCGGCACUCCCGAGGGUCCCCUCCCGCACGGGGACGCCCAGGUAGGAGCGAUCCGGCUCCGAGCGGCAGCGGUCUCCAGACCGGUCCGUGUCGGGACCAUUCACGGCGUCCUCCUCGGCGGCCGUAUGUGAUGCCCUCCCGGCAACACCCCCAAAAGAAGCGGGCUGCCGGGGCCGGCCCCGCCGAGUCCUUCCCGAGGGCCGUUCGCUUUCCGUGGGUGCAGAAGCGGGCACAGCUCGGGGUGAGGCGCAGGGCGAGGGGCGGGCGACGGCGAGUGGAUGCUACACCGCGACCUCUGCGAAAACGACCCCAGCCCGUCUCCUGCCACUCAACCACCCCGGCGUGUGCCAAGGGCCGGCCGCAGGCCGCAAUGCCCGCCGGUGCCGUCACGUAAGUGGGGAGAAGCCCGGAAUGCUCUCCUCCGCUUUUCCAGCUCCCGCCGGGGAAAUCCCGGGGUGAAGCACGGCGGGGGUCGGGCGGCUGCUCCGAGACCACUGCUUCCUCCUGGGAGGGAGCGAUGCGAGGAGCGGGCUCACCUCGCCGGAAGGGCUGCAGAGACGGGGACACCUUUCACCCCUCUCCCCCCGCCCUUUGGCAGAGCCUCGCUCUUGGAAACCGUCUCCGGUUUAUUUUCUCAUUGGGUUAUUUGGCGUGGUCACUUCAGAGCUGCGGGCUCCUUUUGCACCGGACCGAGAUCUGAAGGCGGCCUAUUUAUAACGGCACUGGGAAAGAGGAGAAAAAGUCCUUGCGUUAGGCUUCCCAAAGUGUUAUUUGUAUUAUUAGUGUUAUUAUUAUUAUUUUUCCAGCGGGACAAAGAUCGAGUCUUUAUUUCAGGAGCGGACUUUGCCCAGCAACAGACCCGCUGCACCUCCCGGCUCUGCCGCGCACCCGGCACCGGGCGGGGCUGUGCCCGGAGGCCGAGUUGA
Molecule: long non-coding RNA, 1044 nt
Filed under: Chrysolophus pictus (golden pheasant)
Lineage: Eukaryota; Metazoa; Chordata; Aves; Galliformes; Phasianidae
Description: lncRNA (ENSCPIG00010002387.1)
Source: RNAcentral